CCUACGGGAGGCAGCAGUGAGGAAUAUUGGACAAUGGGUGAGAGCCUGAUCCAGCCAUCCCGCGUGAAGGAUGACGGUCCUAUGGAUUGUAAACUUCUUUUAUAUGGGGAUAAACCUACUUACGUGUAAGUAGCUGAAGGUACCAUAUGAAUAAGCACCGGCUAACUCCGUGCCAGCAGCCGCGGUAA
This 188-nucleotide ribosomal RNA is filed under the name uncultured bacterium. RNAcentral describes it as "partial 16S ribosomal RNA". It matches the Rfam family "Bacterial small subunit ribosomal RNA", at positions 338 to 523 of the family's 1533-position model. The record is from RNAcentral.